RNAcentral lists this ribosomal RNA (408 nucleotides) under uncultured bacterium. Its description in RNAcentral is "partial 16S ribosomal RNA". It matches the Rfam family "Bacterial small subunit ribosomal RNA", at positions 28 to 526 of the family's 1533-position model. The record is from RNAcentral.
GACGAACGCUGGCGGCGUGCUUAACACAUGCAAGUCGAACGAAGUGGCGAACGGGUGAGUAACGCGUAAUCCACCUGCCCUUCAGAGGGGGACAACAGGUGGAAACGUCUGCUAAUACCGCAUACUGAUGGUGGGGAUUGCGUCUGGUUAGCUAGUUGGCGGGGUAACGGCCCACCAAGGCGAGGAUCAGUAGCCGGUCUGAGAGGAUGGACGGCCAGAUUGGGACUGAGACACGGCCCAGACUCCUACGGGGGGCAGCAGUGGGGAAUCUUCCGCAAUGGACGAAAGUCUGACGGAGCAAAGCCGCGUGAGUGAUGACGGCCUUCGGGUUGUAAAGCUCUGUUAAUCGGGACGCGGUACCGGAAUAGAAAGCCACGGCUAACUACGUGCCAGCAGCCGCGGUAAUUC